Molecule: long non-coding RNA, 892 nt
Filed under: Lupinus angustifolius (narrow-leaved blue lupine)
Lineage: Eukaryota; Viridiplantae; Streptophyta; Magnoliopsida; Fabales; Fabaceae
Description: long non-coding RNA (LANG_LNC001956)
Source: RNAcentral
UCCUCCAUGAGACUUUCUCCACAUGAGAGCCUACUCCCCUUUACUGUAAUCAUUUUUUAGUAUCCUUGAUGAUUUUAUUAAUAUUCCAACUUUCCAUGCUUGUAGCGCAACUUCUCUAAACCUGUAGUGAAGCUUCAUAUACUUCCAUCCAACGGAACAUGUCGUUUAGUUCUUCAUUGCUAGGAAGUCUUCCAAUAUUAUGAAAAUUCUACAUAAAAGUUCACCAACACCCGCUCUCUUCAAUACUUAGCCGAACUAAACUAUGGAGCUUCAUUAGAAAGCAUCAACAACUACCACCAUCGUCUAUACAUAAUUACAAUCACAGUUCAAAGAAUUAUCAUACUCCAUCUUAAGGAGUACACUCACCACCUUGCAUCCAUUGAAACAAAUAUUUGUGUCACGCCUUUGCAUCCAUGUCAAUGUCCAUGUUAUACUCUGCAUUUCUACCAAUGCAUGUGUUAUAUCUUACAUCCAAACCAAUACUUGUGCUACACCUUCAUCGAAGUCACUUAAAGCUUAUGUGCUAUUGUGUAUGUGCUAGCAAUAAACAUCCCUCUCCACUUUUCAUCCCAAAUAAUAUCAUCUUAUUCGAUAAUUAGAGAUACUAUCAGCAUUUUCUCAGAGCUCGACGCUCCAUGUAGAUCCCUAUCUCCACCUAGGUCCUAAUUAAAUAAACGAUAGUGGCCUCCAUCAUGGCUGUGCCAUGUUUCCUUCUCAUUCAACUCAUUUUAUUUAUCCUCGUGCAAUACCUUUAAUAAGCAUUGUUCAACCAACACAUCUUUCAUGAUUCUUUGUCACAAUCAAAAGUUUUAGUUAUAUUGAACUUCUCCAUCAUGAAUAUGGCGCCUGGAUUAAGAGUCAUAUGUGAAAUGGACUCUAAUACCAAUUGUUG